Strigops habroptila (Kakapo) is the source of this 2768-nucleotide long non-coding RNA. Lineage: Eukaryota; Metazoa; Chordata; Aves; Psittaciformes; Psittacidae. The record is from Ensembl.
UUUUUUUUACUGGUUCACUCAUAAAAACUACAUUUAUUUUAAAAAGGUAUUUACAAACUUUACAACAGUUAAUACAUUUUAAAAACCAUGAAAAUUUAUACACCUUGCUUUACAGACUUAGUGAAUCAGAUGUCAUUUACCCAGAGAGAUGCAGACUCCCUUUCCAAAGCUUAGCUCCUACUCUUUCUUCAGAGCCAGUUUAAAAGCUGUAUUUUUUGCUGAUUCAAUUGCAGAGAACUAAAAGAAAGAGGGAAAAGAAAACCAAGGUCUUUGCAGUCUGCAGAGGUGCGUUUUGUAACUAAACCAUCACAUCCAGGAUCUCAAACCACUCACAAAAUACUGUUACACAACAUCCGUAUUCUCCUGAAUUCAAGAUGAACAAGUCCCAAGGUUUAUCAUGUCAUUAAACCUUUGUAAUACCAACAAUGAAAAACUACAUCAAUUAAUACCAUGCAUGUUGGGGCUGAAUUUCAGAGCUGCUGAGGAUUUACACCUCUGCUUAAGAAAACAGACAACUGCAGACCAUGCAUGUGAAAACCAGGUUUGAAGUAUGCAGUCAGGCAUGUCCAGGGAUUCAGACAGCCUUAAAUCACGACAGUCAGACCAAUACAGCAUCAAAAGAUGCUUUUCACCUUUUAUUAAGCUCCUCUAUACCCCUUUGUGUACUCUCUGUAGUGCCACAAAGUCCUAAAGAUGCUUUAAUGUUAACAGGAGCAGAAUUAGGUGAACCUCAUGCACCUUUGAAAAGCACAAGCAGCAAUGAAAUCACAUUAUUCCUUUUCUUUUUCUUUCCCAUGUAGUCCUAGGAAAAGCUCACCCUGAUCCACUAGAUAAUUUGGUCUGCAACAGUAAAUAUCAAAUACUGAAGGUUUUUAAUUAAAAGAAUUAAAAGAAGGCAGCAGUAAUGGGUCAGGAACGCUUUCACCAUAAAAAAGCUUACAGUUAAAUUACAGACACCUUCAACUUAUUAUUUCCAUUUACACUUAUAAAAAUAAAUAAGGAGAGAAAAUCUGAGCCAUCAUCACUCCAAGUCUAACUCACUGUUCAUGUGUGGAGCACACACUGGGCUGCACAGUGUGAAGGUCGUUAGAUGCAGGUUCUCCAAACCCACUGCAUAGACAUGACAGUGUUUUCUGCCACUGCGGAUCACAGAUCUGUUCUCACUGGAAUCGGUGUCCUUUCCUAAUCCAAUAAUCCACUGAAAUGGAAAGCUGUCUGUUUCCCUCCUCCCUGAUGUGGAUUAGAGCCUGUAACAUUUUUAAAGGAAUUUAUCACAGCAUGACAAAUUUUAAUUAAAAGCUCCAGAAAACAAGUGUUGAGCAUAUUUCUCCAAAGCAAAACAAAAUCCUCUAAGAUUUGAAAUGUAACACCAGCUUUGAAGAGCACAGCUACGAAAUGGGAUUAGAGUUUGUCUUCUCUGCAGACUCGAUAUUUAACUUGGGAGGUUUGUUUUAUUCAAGACCCAUGAACUGGGUAGAAAUGCUGCUGUUUGCGUUCACUUCUGGUGUGCAGAGAUGACAACAUUAAUGUUCUACUCCCAUUUCUAGCCCUCCAGUUUAAAAGACAGUGGAUGACAUUUCCAAGAGCAUCUAAUAAACAUGGAAAGGUGAUCCUGAUUCUGAAAGCGAAGUAGUGAGACCUUAAAUUGUCUCUGAAAGUUAAAUCUCAGCAUUUAAGUCAGGGAAGUACCACAGCAAAGAGCAGAACACUCAAAUCACCAGUGGUCUGGUGGGAUUUCUCCUAAGUGCAGGCACUUACUUUCACUUAAUUAAAAUGAGCCAGGCCCCAUCCUUAUUCACACACUUAAAUAUCCAACUGCCUUUAAAAAUCUGACACUUAGAAGACAAUGCUCUUUCCUAAAACUGGCACAAAGCCCCACAGAAUCACUACAGAGUCCAUAUAGUACCUCUAAGCAGACUGUGCUGACUUAUAUCAGCUGAGAACAGAACUCCUCACACACCACAGGCAAUAAUACAGUUAUCAAAAUGGAACACCUAUUUGUGAGUUAGUUUUCCAAAGGAAAGAAGGAGAAACAGGGAGAGUUUACACCACUUCAGACUCUAGAACAAAAUAAUGCUGAGGAAGGAAAAAUCCCCCAACCUUAAACCCCUUUCUGGCACAGCAGAUUUGCCAAUGAAAUGCCCAAAAUAUCCCAGGAAGGAAAAUCUUGCUCCAUGCUCUUUAGGCAUCAGCUGUUCCUUUCCUUCCAGUUAGGGUGAUGGCUCAGCUACAACAGUCUCCAACCGGCCAGACAACAAAGGCAGCAAGGAGAAAAGCCUGACCUGUGUGGACAGCAUGCCAAGACCAAGUUUAAGGAACCUGCCAGGUGAGACAGUGGAUUGCAAGGAGAGCAUACAGGAAGAUAACACCUUCACUGCUUUUUAAGGAGCUGGUUCUAUAGGAAAAGUCAAAGAUCAAAAUAGAAAUGAAAGGCCUGUUCGUAAACCUAGUCUAUAAAACUGCAAAAACCCACUCCAAACAGUGAGAACCAAGUCUCCCCAAGUUAAAGAGCAUUAUGGAAAGGGUCACUGAAGAUCAGCUGAACAAUUCUUCCCAAGGUCAGACUUCCUCCAGUGAGGUUUUUUUGCAUGGACUAGUUCCCUCCUCUAGGAAAAAACCCCAAUGUGUGAGUUCAAGUGAUUAAAGCAGAUCAAAAAAGUAGGGAAAUAAGACUCAAAAGUCACUUGGAACCAAAAUCCCCAAAGCUGAUAGCUAGUUUGUUUCCCCACAACAGACAAACCCUCAGCUGAGAUUCCCACACAGAGUCC